This 211-nucleotide long non-coding RNA is filed under the name Chinchilla lanigera (long-tailed chinchilla). RNAcentral describes it as "lncRNA (ENSCLAG00000024834.1)". The record is from RNAcentral. Lineage: Eukaryota; Metazoa; Chordata; Mammalia; Rodentia; Chinchillidae.
GGGGCCUAUGAGGCAGGAAGCUAGCCAGCCGGAAGACCGGAGCUCCCUGCCCGUGGUUCCCUGUGCACCAGAAGCCCUCCUUCCAGGGGCCUACAAGGCCGGGAGUGAGCUGUUGGUCCAAAGACCAGCGCUGCCCGCCCGAGGCUCCCCGUGCACUGGGGCCAGUUUUGUUUUAAAGAAAUGGAACUCAUCUCAAACACGUUCCUUCUGA